Long non-coding RNA from Aegilops tauschii subsp. strangulata, 2301 nucleotides. RefSeq lists it as uncharacterized. Lineage: Eukaryota; Viridiplantae; Streptophyta; Magnoliopsida; Poales; Poaceae. The record is from RefSeq and is a predicted model, not a curated record.
AUUGUUUCUGGUGGAAGCCCAAUAAGAUCACUUCUCUCGCACUCACACAUCACACACCUCACAGUCUCACCGCUCAAGAAAAAAAUGAGUCUCACACGGUGCUCUUGCCUGAUCCCCUUUUCAUCUUGUUCUAUCCCCUCUGUACAAAUUUUGUUCCACCCGAGCGCUAUGGAUUUAAUUCCGAACACCACCUCAGUUUCCCCUCUUGAUUCCUUGCCGUGACCUUGCUCUUACACACCUGCACGCACGGGGUGGCCAUCUCGUGUGCCUAAUUUGGCUCCCUGUACGCCUCCUCGAUCUGCUAAGCCGAACGGCGAUGGAGGGUUAGCAGGGCUCGAUGAGAAGCUGCCCAAUGGAGGAGGCGAGCUUGUCGAUCUUGAAGUGCCGCGGUCGUCGGCGUCCUUGGAGGCGACGUGGGCGUUGAUUUCGUCUCGCACAUCCAGCUUGAAUCCACCUCAAUUGUGAGGAUGCUGGCGACGUGUCUUCCAUCGCAUCGUGGCCGUCCCGGAGCGAGGCGCCCCAGCAGGUCAUCUUCAUCCUACUUCGGCGGCUCAUUUUUCACCUGCAGCUUGGCCUACUUCCUGUAGCAUAGACUGUAUCUCCGGCCAAGCUGCGUUCAACAUGAAUGUCACAAAUAGGGGAAUAAUAAUGGAUACUGCAUAGCCGUGAAUUAUGAAUGGUUCUUUGAUAUUCUUCUCGGCCUUAUCUCUUUGUACUGAACAAUGAUAUCACAUCCUUUUCUAUUCCCUAUUGUAUCAUUCACAAUCAAGCCUGCAACUUUGGUUGCCAUUCUGAGUGUUUUUGCUAGUCUAUUAUCGCUAUCCAACAUAUUUUUAAGGCCCUCGACAGUAUGACGAUUGGUUGACUCCCUUGUGUAUUCUGAUGCUGGCGCGUUAAUCCUAUUUUUACCUCAUUUGUAGGGUCAUAGGUGCAUAACUGCGCUGUGCGUGUUUUAUCUUUACCUUCAGGUAGUAGUGUUCCUAUUUUGUGGUAUUUUUAGCCAUUCAUUCCAAAUACAUAAGGUCCAUGACCAUUGUUUAUUUUUAUGUCUACCUUUCCUCCCGUUGAUAUGAAAGCGAACAUGGACUUGUACAAUCUGAAUUUUUUUCAUGUUGUUUUUCCACCUCUUUCCAUUGUGUUUCCUUAGCAAUUUGGUGUUAUCCAGCGGCUCUCUCAAUAGUGGCAAGUCAACCUUGCCUGUUGGUAGCAUAAUCUGAAAGAUGGCAUGUUCUCGCUCUACCUGAAGUUCUUUCUUCGUACCAGAAAAUUGCAUCACAUCACUCACUUGCAACUUGGGUUUCUUACGUUCCAAAUUUCCAUAUCUGCCCUCUCCAACGUCCUGUUCAAGUUUCCUAAUUCAGCAUCAAUUUAAAAUUCAUACUGUCUAGUUGUUCUUGUUGGUACUGAAACAAACUUGAUAGAACUUACAUAUUUGGUGGUUUUUUCUCUAUCCUUGUUUUUUCUGUCAUACACUUUGUGUUAUUUUUAGUUGUUUACACGCCCCUAAAAGAAAUACCAGGUUCUUGAAUGUCCAAAUUGUAGAUAUUUUGAUUGAACUUCCUUGAUACUUACCUCUUAGUCAUACCAGCCUGACUGAUUAUUGAUUUUGUUUUUGUCACUGGUUCUGGAUUGUUCUUUCUUCGUAUUUUUCUUUUCCUAUAUAGUCUUACAUCUCUAGCUAUCUCUGUUGUAUUACUUGCCCUGCAUAAGCAUAAAUACCAUAGUAGAAAUAAGAGAUUUUUUAGGUGUGCAUUGUACUGUCGUUUCUGUUCUUGCUGUUGGGAAAAGAUUGAACUGUAAGAAUAAGAUAAGAUUGUAAUCUAGGAUGCAAAGUUGAUGUAUAAUAACCACCGAACAAUCACAAAGGAAACUUAGGACAUGAAUGAAAAGCUUAUUUGAUUAUGUUGUCAUACCUCUUGUUUCUGUUGGUGCUUUUGAGAAAAUAUUAAACUAUAUGUCAUUUCUACACGAUCUGUGCAGAUGGUACUUACUGGAGGGUCGCUCGACCGAUGGCGCAAUUGAGGAUAUUGGGGGAACUUGCUUGCGAGAGUUCCUUUUCUUCUUUGAGGGAAAGCCAUCAUGGUGGUGUAUAUUAAUUUGGAGUAACUGUAAUAGCAACAUCAUGAUGACGACAAGUCUAACCUAUCAUGAGUUUGUCUAUGGAAUCAUGAGAUUGAUUGUGAGAUUGGUGUAAAGAAUAUGUGAUAGGCCGUAAGAUUGAUCAUGAGAUUAGUGUAUAUGUUAUUGGAAACAAAAACAAAAGAGAAUACAUGCAAAUGAUCAGUGCAAGGUUGGAUUGUU